ACAGCAGCCGCCGCGGGAAUACGAAGGGGGCUAGCGUUGCUCGGAAUGACUGGGCGUAAAGGGCGCGUAGGCGGCGGCCAAAGUCAGGCGUGAAAUUCCCGGGCUCAACCUGGGGGCUGCGUUUGAUACUUGGUUGCUUGAGUGGGGAAGAGGGUCGUGGAAUUCCCAGUGUAGAGGUGAAAUUCGUAGAUAUUGGGAAGAACACCGGUGGCGAAGGCGGCGACCUGGUCCUUUACUGACGCUGAGGCGCGAAAGCGUGGGGAGCAAACAGGAUUAGAUACCCGUGUAGUCCCUGUCUCUUAUAC
Molecule: ribosomal RNA, 305 nt
Filed under: uncultured bacterium
Lineage: Bacteria
Description: partial 16S ribosomal RNA
Rfam family: Bacterial small subunit ribosomal RNA
Source: RNAcentral